This 93-nucleotide ribosomal RNA is filed under the name Ictidomys tridecemlineatus (thirteen-lined ground squirrel). The record is from RNAcentral. Lineage: Eukaryota; Metazoa; Chordata; Mammalia; Rodentia; Sciuridae.
CAUACCACACUGAACGCGCCGGAUCUCGUCUGAUCUCGGAAGCUAAGCAGGGUUGGGCCUGGUUAGUACUUGGAUGGGAGAAACACAAAGGUU